CGGUCGCAUGCUUUGAUGGGAAUACAGGAAUACAGUAUUUCAGACUGAACAGAGCAGAAUGUAAAAUACAGUAUUAAGAAAGAACUUCCUCAAGAGAUAGUGUCAGAAGAGCCUGUUGGAAGAUGGAUCAUGGAUACGUGCCUAAAAAUGAUCUACGGAUAAUCUUACUGGGUCAGGCUGGUCCAUGGAAAGGCUUCGUCAGCAAGGACAUCGUGGGCCUGUGGGCCGAUGGGUCAAUGUGCUUGCAGAGAGAAGAAUCUGGCCGGACAGUCACCAUGGUGAUGACCCAAGGCUGGGACAGUGAAUCAGAACACACUGGUGCUGCAGUAGAACAGGAGGUCAUGAGAAGCGUGACCCUUUGCCCUCCAGGGCCGCACGCUCUCCUGCUGGCGCUGCCCAUCGGGCCCGACAUGGGCAUCACGAGGCGUGACGUGGAGAGGGCUCAACAGCACAUGAGCUUCCUGUCUGAGAGAGCCUGGAGACACACCAUGCUUGUGUUCAUCUGCACCUACAAAAUAAUGUCUAACACGAUCUUGCUGGACAAACACAUUCUAGGGCAGCUUGUAGAUAAAUGUGGAGGAGGACAUUCUAUUAUUUUCUUGGACAAGCCCGGUUCUGAGCUCUUACAGAAGGUAGAUCAAAUGGCGGCUAGAAACAGACAAAGUUUCCUUCAACAUCAUGAGGUUAAAAGGCCGAGACCAACUAUGGAGGCAGAAGAGCUUGCAGCCCUCAUUCAAAAUCUGAGGAACAGGAGGGGCAGUGGGUCACCAGGACCACAACCAGCAAGGACACGUCAUAGAGAGGUGCCACGGAAUGACCGAUACAUUGGAUUUUGUUAUGGGUUGUUUCUGUGGUGUGUUAUUAUCUUUGUUGGCGUUUUUGCAGGGUUUAUCGUCUAUCUAUUAAUCAUAGCAGGCACGUCUGUCUGUGUGUUUGUGUUUGUGUGUGUUUGUCUGUUUUUCUGUUUUGCUUGAAAAGUGGUGGGUUCAAUUUCCACCUUCCACUCAUUACUCUGGGGACAUUCAUUGCUCCACCUUCCACUCAUUGUUCUGGCCCUUGUAAUGUAAUUGAUAUACAUAUCACAAAAAAAUGUAUAUAAGUCGCUUUGGAGAAAAGCAUCUGCUAAUUUAAUAAAAGAAAAUGCCAAACAUGCCAGGUGCCUUGCUAUGGGCACGCUUGACAUUAUUUGGCUAAAAUGCCAAAUAUAUUGUUGAAUAUUGUUCAAAGAAGCACACAUUUGCCUCUACCUGCUGUAGCCAGCCCCCUAGAAACUCAAGCAACUCAGUGUGUGUAUAGAUAUGUUUGGGGCAUGAGGAUAGGACAGAGCUGAGGCUUGCCACUGAGAGGUCAGUGAGUCUCCAGGGGGAGAAAAAAGUACAAAUGAAACAAUGACUAAAUCAGUUGCAAUGGGCCAAACACUAUUCCACUGGGGAUCAGCAGUGCUAGACAAAUGGCCUCCUACCAGAGCUAAACAAAAAGGAGAAGAGAUCGAGAGAAAUUCAUAAACAGAGUUUGGUGUCUGCCAGACUAAUAAGCUAAAUCUGGCCUCAUCAGACAGACAGGCCUUCUUCCAUUUGGAGUAUCCCACAUGCCUUUAGGCAAACUUUAGUCGAGAUUUAAUAAGAGCUUUGCCACUACAUAGAGCUUUGACUAGUGAAGAGCUCAGGCAAAAGUUGCUGUAUGCUUAGUUUCUCCCAUCUCAGCUGCUGAAGCUUUCAACUUCUUCAGAGUUGUAAUGAGACCUGUUGAGGGGUGGUGGAGUUGAGGCCUGGUUGACAUGCUAGACAUGGUGCUGGAGUGAUGUCCAUCUCCUUGUGCCCCCUCUCCACCCAAACCUGCCCCUCUCAUUUAGUCCAUGUGAUCCAAGUUCCCCAGUCUCAGCUCUUUUUCAUGAGAUGGUCAAUACUAGCCUUGCUGCCUGGGUACUCGUUAUGUAGAGCCACUGCUAGUCAGGCCAAGACAGGACUCAGACAAGCACUGGUGUGUGUCGCCAUGUCUAGAGCUCACCACAUGUACUUUACAGUGUGCCUUUAGCAACCUAUAGGACCUCACAGAUACAGAAUAAGUCUGUUAUAAAGAAGACAGUUUAAACACCUGUUUUCAAGACUACAUGGGAAUGGAAUUUGAUAGGUAGCCUUCGAAUGGGGAUGUCCAGUAUUUAGUAUAGUAAAAAGUAAAAAGAAAUCAACUAUGAAUGAGUUUGUUAUUGUUAUAUUUUAUUGUUGAAAUCAAUUACAAAUAUAUAUAGAAAGUAUAGCUAGAUUAGACAUUCAAAUGUGCUUUCCAAUAUAGACGAUGCCUUCAAAAGGUGUGUUUAACAUUGACAAGUGAAUAGACAUUUCGGCCUUAAUGUAAAUGUAAAAUAAAAGUGC
This is a long non-coding RNA of Sardina pilchardus (European sardine), 2372 nucleotides long. RefSeq lists it as uncharacterized. NCBI's taxonomy places the organism in Eukaryota, Metazoa, Chordata, Actinopteri, Clupeiformes, Clupeidae. The transcript has 4 exons. The record is from RefSeq and is a predicted model, not a curated record.